This 323-nucleotide unclassified non-coding RNA is filed under the name Entoloma sp. RNAcentral's name for it is "partial internal transcribed spacer region". The stretch from base 1 to 46 matches the Rfam family "Eukaryotic small subunit ribosomal RNA", at positions 1786 to 1831 of the family's 1831-position model. The record is from RNAcentral. Lineage: Eukaryota; Fungi; Basidiomycota; Agaricomycetes; Agaricales; Entolomataceae.
AAGUCGUAACAAGGUUUCCGUAGGUGAACCUGCGGAAGGAUCAUUAUUGAAUAAACUUGGUUAGGUUGCUGCUGGCUUUUAGGAGCAAUGUGCACACCUAUUCCAUUUUUAACCUCCUGUGCACUUUGUAUAGACCUGGAUAUCUCUCGAGCGCCAGUUUUGGACUCGGUCCUGAGAAUUGCUGAGUUGAAAAACCUGCUCUUCUUGUCUUUCAGGUCUGUAUCUCAUCUAUAUACUCCAUAAGAAUGUAUCAGAAUGCAGUUUGAGGCCUUUGGUGCCUUUAAAAAUACAUACAACUUUCAACAACGGAUCUCUUGGCUCUC